RNAcentral lists this unclassified non-coding RNA (396 nucleotides) under uncultured fungus. RNAcentral's name for it is "partial contains small subunit ribosomal RNA, internal transcribed spacer 1, and 5.8S ribosomal RNA". The stretch from base 1 to 73 matches the Rfam family "Eukaryotic small subunit ribosomal RNA", at positions 1759 to 1831 of the family's 1831-position model. Lineage: Eukaryota; Fungi. The record is from RNAcentral.
GCAAACUUGGUCAUUUAGAGGAAGUAAAAGUCGUAACAAGGUUUCCGUAGGUGAACCUGCGGAAGGAUCAUUAUUGAAUAAUUUGCCUUGAUGGGUUGUAGCUGGCCUCUAGAGGCAUGUGCACGCCUGUCUUGACUCUAUUCAUCCACCUGUGCACCUUUUGUAGUCCUUUACUCUCUAAGGUUAAAAGCUUGUCAUUCAGUUGAGAUACACUGGAUUUGAGGAUUGCCUAUUACUGGCUUUUCUCUCCCUGGCUUAUCUGAGGAGGACUAUGUACUUUAUCACAAACCAUAUAGUAUGUUACCAGAAUGUAUUCAAUGGGCCUCCGUGCCUAUAAAACAUUAUACAACUUUCAGCAACGGAUCUCUUGGCUCUCGCAUCGAUGAAGAACGCAGC